Molecule: unclassified non-coding RNA, 329 nt
Filed under: soil metagenome
Description: partial contains 5.8S ribosomal RNA, internal transcribed spacer 2, and large subunit ribosomal RNA
Rfam family: 5.8S ribosomal RNA (bases 1-120)
Source: RNAcentral
GAUGAAGAACGUAGCGAGAUGCGAUAAGUAAUGUGAAUUGCAGAAUUCAGUGAAUCAUCGAAUCUUUGAACGCACAUUGCGCCCCCUGGUAUUCCGGGGGGCAUGCCUGUUCGAGCGUCAUUACAACCCUCAAGCUCUGCUUGGUAUUGGGCCCCGCCAGUUCUGGCGGGCCCUAAAGUCAGUGGCGGUGCCUUCCGGCUCCGAGCGUAGUAAUUCUUCUCGCUCUGGAGACCCGGUUGUGUGCUUGCCAACAACCCCCAAUUUUUUAAGGUUGACCUCGGAUCAGGUAGGGAUACCCGCUGAACUUAAGCAUAUCAAUAAGCGGAGGA